GAUGAACGCUGGCGGGAGGCCUAACACAUGCAAGCCGAGCGGUAGAGUUUCUUCGGAAACUUGAGAGCGGCGCACGGGUGCGUAACACGUGUGCAACCUACCUUUAUCUGGGGGAUAGCCUUUCGAAAGGAAGAUUAAUACCCCAUAAUAUAAUGAUUGGCAUCAAUUAUUAUUGAAAACUCCGGUGGAUAGAGAUGGGCACGCGCAAGAUUAGAUAGUUGGUGAGGUAACGGCUCACCAAGUCAAUGAUCUUUAGGGGUCCUGAGAGGGAGAUCCCCCACACUGGUACUGAGACACGGACCAGACUCCUACGGGAGGCAGCAGUGAGGAAUAUUGGACAAUGGGUGAGAGCCUGAUCCAGCCAUCCCGCGUGAAGGAUGACGGUCCUAUGGAUUGUAAACUUCUUUUGUACAGGGAUAAACCUACCCUCGUGAGGGUAGCUGAAGGUACUGUACGAAUAAGCACCGGCUAACUCCGUG
RNAcentral lists this ribosomal RNA (479 nucleotides) under uncultured bacterium. Its description in RNAcentral is "partial 16S ribosomal RNA". It matches the Rfam family "Bacterial small subunit ribosomal RNA", at positions 28 to 507 of the family's 1533-position model. The record is from RNAcentral.